ACAAGUAUUCAAAUCACUACAAAACAAAAUGUCGUCCUGUGAUCUUACUGUCUUACUCAGUUUAGUGGUUUUAUGCUACAUAUCACAUAACCAAGAUGUUUACAAGAAGAAUUCAGAAAAUAUUCUUUUGGGGCAAGAAGAAACGAAAAAUCUCAUUUCUAGGACCACGGAUUGUACUCUUCAAGAAAUUGGUGAAUUUGCAGUGAGCCCUGGGGAUACUAAACGAAAAUACCAAACAACACUUGAUGCGUGCAAGACGGACUGUGAAAAUUCUCCACAGUGCCGAGCUAUGUAUUAUAUAAACAGAAUGUGUUUCAUCAUUUAUAAAGACGCUCAACGAAUUGAACUAUUAGGGUCAUCGUUCUUUCUAAAAAUUUGCCAUGGGAUAUAUUGUGACCUCAAGCUAUUGGAGGGACAGGUCUCAGAUUUAUUACAAAUAGUAUCCACUCUCAGCAACGAUGUCAAGAUUCUAAAGGAGAGCUUGGCAAAAUACAACACCACCGCUUAUUGAUUUAGAAAGGACACCGGAACAAAGAAACAUUUUAUAUUUAUAUAUAAAGUUAUUAAUUUGAUUUUUGAAAACUUAUCGGAAAACCUAAUAUCUUUUUCACAUCUAUCGAUUGUAAAAAAUGUGCUGGAUUAUAAUUUGAGUAUGUCAGCCUUUUGUCUGCAAGUUCAUUCAUUUUGCUAUAACACUUUAAAAGUUACCGUAUGUAUUUCGCCAUAACCAUUAUCAUAAGACAACCACAGCUGGUAAUAAGAUGUAUGGUGGUUUAGAUUGUAUAUUCUAGCUGUUUAAAUGCGUCCGUUGAUCUUGCAAUUUGAUUCUUAAAGUGACUCAUUACCCAUUGACACAGUUUCUGAAAUAAGCAGAAAAUUAUUAAAGUAUGAUAGAUAGCAUGACACAUUAGAAGUGUAUAAGCAUAAUAGGGAAAAAAAUGCAAUUUUUGGGGAAAAAAUUAUAAUUUUGCAAAAAAUAUUUCAGUAUAUAUAAAAAACAAAAGGCUUAUGCGGAUUCGAACUCGUGAUCUACGGUUCACAAGCCCUAUACUCUAACCGCUAAGCUACAUGUAUGAUAAUACUUAACCUAAUCGAUUGAUACAAACUUUUAAACAAAAAAUGCAAAUCGCCAUCUACUGACUUUGUGUCUUAAAACGUAUGUCCUAAAUUGAUGUAGCGAGUACGGUAAAAACAUCGUCUUGUUUUUCAAUGAGGCGAAUUAAAUCACAAAAUAAGGAAUCAUUUAUUUUAGACACGAAGAUAAUCGUCUUUAAAAUUCUCACCACAAUUACAUGAAACUCAAGGGAGGAUUUAAAAACCGGGAAUACUAACCAUGUUAUGUAUAAAAUAACUGGUGUUUAAGAUAAAUGGUACGGAUUUUUUUUUUGGUUUCAGCAGAUUAAAAUGACUCUGGUCAAAAAAGCAACCUCGCAGUUCUAAAUAAUUGAUAUGAUUUCUAUUAUUAUACUAUUUAAAAGGCUAAUAUUAAGUUAUUAUAUAAGUAUUUCAAAUGUGUUUUAAGAAAAACCAACUAAGUAAACGAAUAAUUAUAUUACUAUGGUGGCAUAUCUCUGCCCCUUGUGUGCAAGUAAUUUUUCUAUCAAAUAUGUCGACAUGCAAGAUCGAUAUGUUGACAUGCAAGAUAAUUAUGUCAACAUGCAACAUAACUAUGUUGACAUGCAAGAAAUUGCAAUGAGAUAUGAAUUAUACAAAAUCUAAAAAGAAACCUCAAAUAUCGCCCACCUGUGACAUCCAAGAUGAUAGAUGCUACCUUUUUAUGUCGACAUGCAACUUAUUUAUGUUAACAUGUAAGAUAAAUAUGCUGACAUGCAACUUAUUUAUAUCAACAUGCAACUUAUUUAUUGGAAUGCAACUUCUUUAUGUCAACAUGCAACUUACUUAUGUCGACAUGCGAGAUGAAUAUGUCGACAUGCAACUUAGUUAUGUUUACAUGCGAGAUAAAUAUGUUGACAUGCAACUUUUAAGUUGCAUGUCAACAUAACUAAGUUGCAUGUUGACAUAAAUAUGUUGCAUGUAGAAAAUUAAAAUAACUUGCACACAAGGGGCAGAGAUAUGCCACCAUACAUUACUGAUCAUCGCAAAUUUUUAUGACUGAAAUUUACAUGUAUGAUGAAUUUUUUUUUAAAUUUAAUUUUCAUAUUUCAUGAUUCUUUUAUAUAUAUCCGUUUAAAACAUUAAAAGAAAAAAAUUGUUAAAAAUGAACACGUAAUUCUUUAUCUUUCAAAAUAUCUAUCUUUCUUUUUAUGUAUCUUUCUAAAUGUGUGUGUUAGUCAUAAAAACCUGUAUUAUCUAACAAAUUAUGUUCAAUUAAAAUCCCAAAUGUUUACCCUCUUAUGUUCAUCAUUGUACAUUUUACUGAAAUUAAAUUGAUUUUUUAAUACACAUUGAUUUAUGCUCUUUGUUAGAUAAAAGAAUAAAUACUUUGUGUUAAGACAUUUUGCGCUUUAUAUCUUUAAUAUGUGGUUAACGAUAAUUUUCAAUGUAAAUUUUAUAAAUGUACAUAUCAAAGCUCAAUCUAUAGCUAGCACCUUUUUGAAUAUGUUAAUAACUAUGAAAUGAUUUCUUAAUCAACAGUUUUCGUUACCCUGUACGAAUUGAUUGGUUAAAAGUUUUUUUCACAUUAUCUCUGGUGAUUGCGUUGAAAAUUCAAAAUUUCAAUAAAAACUCUUUUUAUUAUUAAAUGUUUCCUAUUCAAGAGGAAAGAAACCAAGUGUAUGUUGUA
Long non-coding RNA from Magallana angulata, 2743 nucleotides. RefSeq lists it as uncharacterized. The record is from RefSeq and is a predicted model, not a curated record. The transcript is spliced from 3 exons. Lineage: Eukaryota; Metazoa; Mollusca; Bivalvia; Ostreida; Ostreidae.